RNAcentral lists this ribosomal RNA (465 nucleotides) under Vreelandella stevensii. RNAcentral describes it as "partial 16S ribosomal RNA". It matches the Rfam family "Bacterial small subunit ribosomal RNA", at positions 338 to 795 of the family's 1533-position model. The record is from RNAcentral. Lineage: Bacteria; Pseudomonadati; Pseudomonadota; Gammaproteobacteria; Oceanospirillales; Halomonadaceae.
CCUACGGGUGGCUGCAGUGGGGAAUAUUGGACAAUGGGGGGAACCCUGAUCCAGCCAUGCCGCGUGUGUGAAGAAGGCCCUCGGGUUGUAAAGCACUUUCAGUGAGGAAGAACGCCUGGUGGUUAAUACCCAACAGGAAAGACAUCACUCACAGAAGAAGCACCGGCUAACUCCGUGCCAGCAGCCGCGGUAAUACGGAGGGUGCGAGCGUUAAUCGGAAUUACUGGGCGUAAAGCGCGCGUAGGUGGCUUGAUAAGCCGGUUGUGAAAGCCCCGGGCUCAACCUGGGAACGGCAUCCGGAACUGUCAAGCUAGAGUGCAGGAGAGGAAGGUAGAAUUCCCGGUGUAGCGGUGAAAUGCGUAGAGAUCGGGAGGAAUACCAGUGGCGAAGGCGGCCUUCUGGACUGACACUGACACUGAGGUGCGAAAGCGUGGGUAGCAAACAGGAUUAGAUACCCUGGUAGUC